This 708-nucleotide ribosomal RNA is filed under the name Streptococcus salivarius. RNAcentral's name for it is "bacterial SSU rRNA". It matches the Rfam family "Bacterial small subunit ribosomal RNA", at positions 105 to 801 of the family's 1533-position model. Lineage: Bacteria; Bacillati; Bacillota; Bacilli; Lactobacillales; Streptococcaceae. The record is from RNAcentral.
GGUGAGUAACGCGUAGGUAACCUGCCUUGUAGCGGGGGAUAACUAUUGGAAACGAUAGCUAAUACCGCAUAACAAUGGAUGACUCAUGACAUUUAUUUGAAAGGGGCAAAUGUUCCACUACAAGAUGGACCUGCGUUGUAUUAGCUAGUAGGUGAGGUAACGGCUCACCUAGGCGACGAUACAUAGCCGACCUGAGAGGGUGAUCGGCCACACUGCGACUGAGACACGGCCCAGUCUCCUACGGGAGGCAGCAGUAGGGAAUCUUCGGCAAUGGGGGCAACCCUGACCGAGCAACGCCGCCUGAGUGAAGAAGGUUUUCGAAUCGUAAAGCUCUGUUGUAAGUCAAGAACGAGUGUGAGAGUGGAAAGUUCACACUGUGACGGUGGCUUACGAGAAAGGGACGGCUAACUACGUGCCAGCAGCCGCGGUAAUACGUAGGUCCCGAGCGUUGUCCGGAUUUAUUGGGCGUAAAGCGAGCGCAGGCGGUUUGAUAAGUCUGAAGUUAAAGGCUGUGGCUCAACCAUAGUUCGCUUUGGAAACUGUCAAACUUGAGUGCAGAAGGGGAGAGUGGAAUUCCAUGUGUAGCGGUGAAAUGCGUAGAUAUAUGGAGGAACACCGGUGGCGAANGCGGCUCUCUGGUCUGUAACUGACGCUGANGCUCGAAAGCGUGGGGAGCGAACAGGAUUAGAUACCCUGGUAGUCCACGCC